This 431-nucleotide ribosomal RNA is filed under the name uncultured bacterium. Its description in RNAcentral is "bacterial SSU rRNA". It matches the Rfam family "Bacterial small subunit ribosomal RNA", at positions 958 to 1392 of the family's 1533-position model. The record is from RNAcentral.
AACGCGAAGAACCUUACCAGGUCUUGACAUCCAACUAACGAGGCAGAGAUGCGUCAGGUGCCCUUCGGGGAAAGUUAAGACAGGUGGUGCAUGGUUGUCGUCAGCUCGUGUCGUGAGAUGUUGGGUUAAGUCCCGCAGCGAGCGCAACCCUUGCCAUUAGUUGCUACGCAAGAGCACUCUAAUGGGACUGCCGUUGAUAUAACGUAGGAAGGUGGGGACGACGUCAAAUCAUCAUGCCCCUUAUGACCUGGGCUACACACGUACUACAAUGGCCGUUAACAGAGGGAAGCAAUACAGCGAUGUGGAGCAAACCCCCAAAAACGGUCCCAGUUCGGAUUGCAGGCUGAAACUCGCCUGUAUGAAGGUGGAAUUGCUAGUAAUCGCGGAUCAGCAUGCCGCGGUGAAUACGUUCCCGGGUCUUGUACACACCG